This 801-nucleotide long non-coding RNA is filed under the name Elaeis guineensis (African oil palm). RNAcentral's name for it is "long non-coding RNA (EGUI_LNC051150)". Lineage: Eukaryota; Viridiplantae; Streptophyta; Magnoliopsida; Arecales; Arecaceae. The record is from RNAcentral.
CCCUCGAUUCGAGCAUUUUGCAUGCCCAAAUCCUAGUCCCGUGUAUUAGAUGUAUGCUCUAGAAGCCAGAUUGGCUGAUACUUGUAAAAUACUUUUAGGAUAUAAUUUAUAAUUUAACUUUGAUAUUAAUAAAAUUAAAUUAUUUUUAUUCAUAUUAUGUUUAAUAGUGUCUGUGAAUCGUCUAUUGGAUUAAUGGAUAAGAUAACACAUAUUCUCAAGGAUUAAGAAUUUGAGAUGUGUGCUCAUCUUAGUUAACUCAUAAAUUACUUUCAAUCAUAAAAUCAUCAUGGAGAUGGUGAUAGAUUUGGAAAACUAGUGUACGAUCACUUCUUUCGGAUAGAUGAGUCUUGAAUCUACAGUGUGGAGACACCAAAAUGAAAGUACAGAUAUUUAUUAGGAACAAGAAUACUGAACGUGACCAUUUACAAAUAGUCAUAUUCAUAGCUGUAGUUAUGUGUUUAGCUCUCUGAUCUGAGGUGCAUCGAUAGUUCACCUUAAGGAUGCUGUAGUUUAACUACACCAUAACUUGAUCUCCUUACCAUAUGGAGCCUUAAGGUGUAUGUUGACUAUAGUAUAUUUAUUGUAAAAAUUGGAUUGCAUCAAGAUGGGAUCUAUCGACCUCGAUAGAGGAGGAGCAGUCCUAUGUAGAUCAUGAGCUUGAGCCAAAAGCCCAUGGCCAUGGCAAUGUGAAAGAUAAAAAAGAGUUUCUAUUGGAUUUUGCAUUGGACUUGAAUCGAUUAAUUCUAUCAUAUGAUAGAUAUGAGGUUUGACGAGUUUACCUUGACCUCGAUUCUGUCAAGA